Molecule: transfer RNA, 72 nt
Filed under: Camelus bactrianus (Bactrian camel)
Lineage: Eukaryota; Metazoa; Chordata; Mammalia; Artiodactyla; Camelidae
Also listed under: 1 other name
Rfam family: tRNA
About the family: Transfer RNA (tRNA) molecules are approximately 80 nucleotides in length. Their secondary structure includes four short double-helical elements and three loops (D, anti-codon, and T loops).
Source: Rfam by way of RNAcentral
GAGGGUAUAGCUCAAGUGGUAGAGUUCGUGUUUAGCAUGCACAAGUCCUGGGUUCGAGCCCCAGUAUUUCCG